CAAUAGCGUAUAUUAAAGUUGUUGCAGUUAAAAGCUCGUAGUUGGAUUUCUGAGAGGAUGCCAAUGUCCUUCUGUGUAAGUGUGCAGCGGCGUCUUUUCAUCCUUCUGUUAACACCUCUUGGCAUUCGUUUGCUGGUGGUGGGCUCAGAUAUUUUACCUUGAGAAAAUUAGAGUGUUUCAGGCAGGCUAGGCCGGAAUACAUUAGCAUGGAAUAAUGGAAUAGGACUACGGUCUCUUUGUUGGUUUGAGGGACUGCAGUAAUGAUUAAUAGGGAUAGUUGGGGGCAUUAGUAUUUAAUUGUCAGAGGUGGAAUUCUCGGAUUUGUUAAAGACUAACUUAUGCGAAAGCAUUUGCCAAGGAUGUUUUCAUUAA
This 372-nucleotide ribosomal RNA is filed under the name uncultured eukaryote. RNAcentral describes it as "partial 18S ribosomal RNA". It matches the Rfam family "Eukaryotic small subunit ribosomal RNA", at positions 592 to 976 of the family's 1831-position model. The record is from RNAcentral.